This 253-nucleotide ribosomal RNA is filed under the name uncultured bacterium. RNAcentral describes it as "partial 16S ribosomal RNA". It matches the Rfam family "Bacterial small subunit ribosomal RNA", at positions 524 to 776 of the family's 1533-position model. The record is from RNAcentral.
UACGAAGGGGGCUAGCGUUGCUCGGAAUCACUGGGCGUAAAGCGCACGUAGGCGGAUCUUUAAGUCAGGGGUGAAAUCCUGGAGCUCAACUCCAGAACUGCCUUUGAUACUGGGGAUCUCGAGUCCGGGAGAGGUGAGUGGAACUCCGAGUGUAGAGGUGAAAUUCGUAGAUAUUCGGAAGAACACCAGUGGCGAAGGCGGCUCGCUGGUCCGGUACUGACGCUGAGGUGCGAAAGCGUGGGGAGCAAACAGG